AUUGAACGCUGGCGGCAGGCCUAACACAUGCAAGUCGAACGAGUGGCGGACGGGUGAGUAAUGUCUGGGAAACUGCCUGAUGGAGGGGGCUAACUACUGGAAACGGUAGCUAAUACCGCAUACCAUCGGAUGUGCCCAGAUGGGAUUAGCUUGGUGGUGGGGUAACGGCUCACCAAGGCGACGAUCCCUAGCUGGUCUGAGAGGAUGACCAGCCAACAUGGAACUGAGACACGGUCGAGACGCCGACGUGAGGCAGCAUUGGGGAAUAUUGCACAAGGGGCGCAAGCCUGAUGAAGCCACGCCGCGUGUAUGAAGAAGGCCUUCGGGUUGUAAAGUACUGUCAGAGGGGAGGCGGUACCCGCAGAAGAAGCACCGGCUAACUCCGGGCCAGCAGCCUCGGUAAUAC
Molecule: ribosomal RNA, 406 nt
Filed under: uncultured bacterium
Lineage: Bacteria
Description: partial 16S ribosomal RNA
Rfam family: Bacterial small subunit ribosomal RNA
Source: RNAcentral